RNAcentral lists this ribosomal RNA (476 nucleotides) under uncultured bacterium. Its description in RNAcentral is "bacterial SSU rRNA". It matches the Rfam family "Bacterial small subunit ribosomal RNA", at positions 28 to 526 of the family's 1533-position model. The record is from RNAcentral.
GACGAACGCUGGCGGCGUGCUUAACACAUGCAAGUCGAACGAUGAAGCCUUCGGGUGGAUUAGUGGCGAACGGGUGAGUAACACGUGGGCAAUCUGCCCUGCACUCUGGGACAAGCCCUGGAAACGGGGUCUAAUACCGGAUAUGACUGCUGACCGCAUGGUUGGUGGUGGAAAGCUCCGGCGGUGCAGGAUGAGCCCGCGGCCUAUCAGCUUGUUGGUGGGGUGAUGGCCUACCAAGGCGACGACGGGUAGCCGGCCUGAGAGGGCGACCGGCCACACUGGGACUGAGACACGGCCCAGACUCCUACGGGAGGCAGCAGUGGGGAAUAUUGCACAAUGGGCGGAAGCCUGAUGCAGCGACGCCGCGUGAGGGAUGACGGCCUUCGGGUUGUAAACCUCUUUCAGCAGGGAAGAAGCGUGAGUGACGGUACCUGCAGAAGAAGCGCCGGCUAACUACGUGCCAGCAGCCGUAACAC